This 320-nucleotide ribosomal RNA is filed under the name Anastrepha fraterculus. RNAcentral's name for it is "partial 28S large subunit ribosomal RNA". It matches the Rfam family "Eukaryotic large subunit ribosomal RNA", at positions 696 to 952 of the family's 3401-position model. The record is from RNAcentral. Lineage: Eukaryota; Metazoa; Arthropoda; Insecta; Diptera; Tephritidae.
GAGUUAUAUUAAACUUAAUGGCAUAAUUAACUUAACUUAUAUAUAAUGGGAUUAAUUUUUAGUCUAUUUUUUUAAAUAGUCAAUUAAUUCAAUCCCGGGGCGUUCCAUAUAGUUAUGUAUAAUAAUAAUUUAUUAUUAUUUAUACCUCUAACUGGAGCGUACCUUGAGCAUAUAUGCUGUGACCCGAAAGAUGGUGAACUAUACUUGAUCAGGUUGAAGUCAGGGGAAACCCUGAUGGAAGACCGAAACAGUUCUGACGUGCAAAUCGAUUGUCAGAAUUGAGUAUAGGGGCGAAAGACCAAUCGAACCAUCUAGUAGCU